This 9001-nucleotide long non-coding RNA is filed under the name Gossypium barbadense (sea-island cotton). Its description in RNAcentral is "long non-coding RNA (GBAR_LNC016726)". The record is from RNAcentral. Lineage: Eukaryota; Viridiplantae; Streptophyta; Magnoliopsida; Malvales; Malvaceae.
GGCAUUGUUGUUCUUAGGUAAAAAUUGUUCUCUAGAGCUAACUUGGAUUGGGAUGAGACAGAUUCAGGUAUGUGUAAAAUCUUAGUCUGUUUAUUUUUAUGGGUAAAUAUAAAUUUUGGUACCUAUAUUUGGUUUCAAGGUUCAAAUUGGUACCUAAGGGUUUUUUUUUAUCCAGUUAGGUACCUAAAUUUGGCCUCAAUGUUCAAUUUGGUACCUAAACCUUUUUUGGUCUAGUUGCCUAAACUUGACUUUUUUGCUUUAAAUUAGUACAUGAAGUUGGCUUCAUAGUCCAAAUUUGUUCAAAUAAGUCAUUUACUAGAAGUUCUAAUUUAGACUAAAAAGUCAAGUUCAAGUACAAAUUUAAAUUAAGAAACCAAGUUCAGGUGCCCAAUUAAAUCAGAAUAAAUUUUAUAUACCAAAUUGAACCUUAAAAUCAAUUUCGAGUACCUAAAUUAUACACAAAUUUAAAUAUCAAUUUAAAUCUUGAAGCCAAAUUUAAAUACCGAAAUGCAUAUUUACCCUUUUUUUCACUGUUCAAGCUAAGUUAUUUGGAUUUCGAAUUCAAUUAUCUGUCCAACAAUAGUAUGUUUAGAUUUUUUUAUUUUAAACAUUUUGGUUGUAUUUAGAAGAUUGUUGAUGUGUCAUAUCUUUAUCUCUAUUUAGUGUCUAACACGAAUACUUAUCUAUCAAUGAAGAGUUAAAUUCAAUUCUUAAUGGCACAUAAUUUGAUUUGUCAAAGUUGUUCAAAACCUACAAUCACAUAAAUACACAUAUCUCAAUUUCUAAUCCACACAAAGCAAAUUAUACAAGUUUUGACCUUUUGGCUAUUUUCAUUUAAGACCCAGGCACAAACUUAGUAGCAUAGACCCAAGCAUUGUUUGCAACAGGGUUAUCAAGGUGGUCCAAUAGGUUCUCCAAGGGACCUUUACCUGUAACAAUGGCUUGAACAAAGAAACCAAACAUUGAAAACAUGGCUAGCCUACCAUUCUUGAUUUCUUUAACCUUAAGUUCAGCAAAUGUAACGGGGUCAUCAGCAAGGCCAAGAGGGUCAAAGUACUGGCCACCAGGGUAAAGAUCAUUGCCUUCACCAACACCAGGGAGGCCAUUGAUGCGGAAUCCUUCGACGAGUCCCAUUAGGACGACUUGGAAUCCGAGAACGGCGAGGAUGCUUUGAGCAUGGACUAGGUUAGGGUUGCCUAAGUAAUCCAAGCCACCUUCUGAGAAAAUUUGAGCUCCUGCCUUGAACCAUACUGGUUCCUUGAAAUCAACCCUAAGCCAUUUCUCAAGUACUUCUGGUGUGAUGCAGCCUAGUGCUCCCAACAUUGCCCAUCUUCCAUGGAUGACCUGAAUGUUUUGUUUUGGUAACAAUGAAGUAAAUAUUUAUCAAGGUAUAGCUUUUAAGGAAAAUGAAAAACUAUGAGAAGUUAUAAAAUAGUCCUUUUAACUAUUCAAUUUUAUCUUUUUUACUUACUAAUUGGCUAACUUAAAAAUGAAUGGAUUGAGUGAUCAUUUUGUAACUUUUUAUAAUUGGGUAAUCAAAAAAUCAUAAUUGGGUGACUACUGAUAUAGUUGAGUGAAAACUAUAAUCUCUAAAUUUUGGGCUUGGAAAAAAAACUUUUAAAAUCAAAUGAUAUUUUUAACCUUGAUAUAAUAUUGUAAUAUUUAUAUUACGUGGGAGGGUUACCUCAAGAGCCCUAUUCCUGGCAAAGGCCUCAGGGUCGGCUGACAAACCAGCAGUGUCCCAACCAUAGUCUCCAGGGAAUUCUCCAGUCAAGUAAGAUGGAGUCUGAGCUGAAAAUGGUCCCAAGUACUUCACUCUGUCUGGCCCAUACCAUAGUUCAUUUCCCUACACAUAUCACAUCCCCAAAAUCAGAGCAAACAAAAACCAAUAAACAAGCUCGACUCUUUAUUUUUCAUAAAUAACACAUGAAUAUGAAAAGAAAAUUUCCAAAUAUAUGAAAAAAUUUAGAAAAUCACACCUAAAUCGAGAAACAUAGGUUAAAACUACUCACCCAAGAAGAAAAUUGUAAAAGAAAGGGAAACCUAAAGAACUAACCAUUGCAUAUUUGGGAGUGCCCAAAGAGACAACAUCUCUAAGAGGGUUAGCAUUUUUGGUUUGGCCAAGAAAUGGGGUUGGCCUAAGAACAGUUCCAGAGCUAAGCAUGGAAGCCAUUGUUUGUCAAUGGGGAUUGAUUUUGAGUUGCAAAAUGUAUGAAAAUGGAAGUGAAGAUUUUAUAUGUGGUGAAGAAAAGAAGAAUCAAAGGAAAUGGAUGGCAAAGAGGGGGUAAGGGAAUUGUGGUGGGGAUUUAAGGCUUCAAAUGAUCAACCAAUGAGAAGGCUGCAAAGGAUUUUUAAGUAUCUCCUACUCAUAUCCUUAUUAUCCACAAUUUAUAUCUUCCCCUUAAUUUAUAAUUUAUUUUCGGAAUGUAUCUAUCAGAACGAGUUUAAUAAUUUUGUAGGCAUAUUAAAUAAGUAAACGCUGAUUAUAAAUUUUAAAUUAUUUUUUAUUUAGAAUAAAUAUUAAAUUAUCGAUCACUUAUUAAGAUAAAAAAAUACUUAUUGUUUAUUUAAAUUUGUAUUUUAAUAUAUAUAUAAGUAUACCUCAAAAACAAAAUUAACGUUAAAGAAAAAAAACACAAAGAACAGUUGCGACGUUCAUCCAAUUGAAGUAAAAACGCCACGUGUUUGGUUUUAAUGCAAUGAAGUGGACUAUUGACCAGUUGUCGAUUCAACGUUCACCGACCGUCCAACGUUAUUGCCCCAUAUUAAACUUUUCUAGAUUUUUCAUAUAAAUCGUUAUCGGGAUUUUUUUUUUCGGAGUUUCUUAAAAUUUCAAUUUUUAGGGAUAUAUUUGAGAGAUAUAUUUGGAUAAUUUUUUAAAAAAAUUGAGUAAUAUAUUUCAGUAAUUUAAAUAAAAAUUUUAUAUAGUUUUUUAAGUUUUUUUUUUGAAUAAUUCUGACUGGAUUUAUAUCAUAUGUAAAAAAGAAAAUUGGGCUAAUAGCCACUACAAUAAGGACUAGAGAAAGAAAAUAAAUCGGGCUUAAACUAGCCCAUCUUGACCAAAAUAAACAAAAUUUGAAAAUAAAGCUAAUCCUAUACCAGUCAAAUCUAGAUAGCUGGACACCAUUAAUUAUCGUCUUUUCAAACCCACCGUCCAGUCAUAACGAUAGCAGGUUACCAAUUUAAUGCUUUUGUCUCUGCUAUCCUUUAAUGAAAACCUUUCCCUUUCUUCAGUCCGGAGGAUUUGGCCAGAGAUUUCCUACCGUUCUCCGAACCACUUCUGGGACUUCCCUCUCCAGGUAAAAACUUUCUCUUCUUCUAAGAGCCUCAUUUGCUAUAGUAUGUGCAUAAAUAUUCUGUGCUUUAGGGACAAAAGUAAACUCAAUCUCCUGGAACCUGUUUUUUAGACUUUGGAUAUCUGUGAUAAUUGCUCCAAUGACUGAUUUAUCUGUGAAGAAGCUUUGGCAUUUCUUGAUAACAGUUUUGGAAUCUCCUAAAACUGUUAAUUUAUUGACUCCCAGUCUAAUCCCUAAUUUUAUUGCAUGUAACCCUGCAUAUGCCUCUGCUGUGAAUGGAUUUGCAAUGUUGGAGUGAAUGACUACAUGUGAUGCAGGAAUCUCUCUAUUCUCGUUCCGUACUAUUAUACCUGAAGCCGAUCUGAACUCCAGACGAUCGUAAGCUGCAUCAAAAUGAAUGAAGGUCCAUCCCCUUUUGUGUAUCUGUUGGAGAUUGUCAGAUGAAUGGAGAGUAAGAUUUCUUACUUUUGUUACUGCAAGUUCUGUAAUAUAGACUCUGAUUUUCCUCGCUAUUUCUGAUCCUGACAUGAGUCUUUUUUCAUAUGCGAGAUGAUUUCUGCUAAACCAAAUGAACCAAAGGCUACAACAGAAAAGUUGAAACUGCUUUUCAUUACCUCGAUCAAAAACCCAGGUAAGCCAUCCCCACAUGUUAUUUAUACUCUGAUUCAGCACCCACAAUAAAUUUAACUGAUUCCAAACUUCCAUUGAUCUAGGGCACUGAAUAAAAAUAUGCCAGCUAUUUUCUUCAGCACAACCACACUUGGGACAAAGAGUGUUCAUCACUACCCUCUUUAUUUUGAGGUUGACAAAGGAAGGGAUAAAUCUCAAGAAAUCCUCCAAAUUGUCAUCUGAAUCUUUGAAGGGAUAUGUAACUUCCAUAAUUUGUUGUAGAAAUUUUUUGUCUCGGUAUGUAAUAAUAAAUCAUUAGGAUCCAGAUUAGAACCAUGUAAUAGUUUAUAGGCACUCCUUACCGAGAACUCCCCUGUCGGUUCUCCUCUCCAUACUUGAAAAUCUUCUUGUUCUGUCUUCGCAAAAGGGAUUUGUAAUAUUUGCUCUGCAACAUCUGGUUGAAAGGUAUUUCUUAUCAGCUCUGUUUUCCAGCUCCUGCUAUUUGGCUCAAUUAAAUCCGAGACUAAUUUAACAUUUUCAUUGUUUUCUUGAAUAGUGAUUCUGUCAGCUUAGAUCCCCGGUAUCCAUGAAUCUCCCCGUAUGGGAAUUUGAUCACCUCUCCCCACCCUCCAACAGCGUCUAUUAUUAAAAAGUCCUCUCGCAGCCCAUAUAUUUUUCCAGGUAAAUGAAGGUAAAUUCCCCAACUGAGCUUUGUAGAAAUCUGAAUUGGGAAAAUAUUUUACUUUCAAAACACGGGAAAUAAUGAAUUCGGAUAAUUAAUAAGACGCCAUCCCUGCUUCGUUAAUAAUGCAACGUUAAAUUUAGCAAAAUCACGAAAAUCGAGACCACCAUAUUCUUUUAAUAGACAUAUAUCCUUCCAAGUGCACAAGUGGAUACCUUUUUUAUUAAAUCUCUUUUGCCACCAGAAGUUGGCUAUUAUUCUAUCCAAAUCAGUACAAAGCGUCUUAAGGAGUAGAAAACAAGCCAUCGAGUAUGUUGGAAUAGCUUGGAGAAUUGCCUUAAUAAACACUUCCUUUCUUCUUUGUGAGAGAUACCUAAUACUCCAACUGUCGAUUUUUUGCUUGAGUCUGUCCUUCAAAUUUUGAAAAGAUAAUCUCUUUCUUUUCCCCACCAUACUAGGAAGUCCUAGAUAUCGCUCAAAAUCAUUAGCUCUUCUGACUCCAAGGAUCUGUGAAACAGCACUCUUUUCACUCUCUUUUGUAUUUAGUACUGAAGAAAACUGUCAAUUUUUCAAAAUUCACACAUUGCCCAGAACUUGUCUCGUAUUCUUGCAGUAUCUGUUUUAAUGAAUGUGCUACCCUAUCCGUAGCUUCUGCAAAUAAAAUACAAUCAUCUGUAAAUAGUAAAUGGGAGAUAGCUAGCCCUAUUCGACUUGCUUUAACACCUUUAAAAACAUUAUCCUCUUUUGCUAACCUCAUUAGACUUGAGAGUCCUCCACAAAUAAGAAAUAAAAAUGGACUUAGAGGAUCCCCUUGCCUAAAACCUCUCGAUGGGAGAAACGUUUGACCAAUAUUUCUAUUAAAACUCAGAGUAUGAGACUGAAGAGACACAAUUCAGUACUAAAUCAACCCAUCCUGGGUCAAAACCCAUUUUUUCCAUUACUCUUUUAACAAACCCCUAUUCAACCCUAUCACAUGCCUUACUCAUGUCCAGUUUAACAGCCAUGAAUCCUUUUUUCCCCAAUCUCUUCAGUUUCAAAGUGUGUAGAAUUUCAUAAGCAAGUAACACAUUAUCACAUGCCUUCCUGGAACAAAAGCAAUCUUUACUAAAUCAAUACAUUUAUGAAUUAUCCCCCGUAGCCUAUUCGCAAUGACUUUAGCAAUCAAUUUGUAAAUCACAUUACAUAAACUAAUAGGUCUAAAAUGGGUAAUGCUUGAGGGAUUUUGGAUUUUUGGGAUGAGCACAAUAUUUGUUUUAUUAAUUGAAUGUAACCCAAUACCUUCGUUUAAUCUUUGGAGACAAAAAUUGGAGACGUCAUUUGUGAACCUUGCCUUCAGUUUAAUGUUAUCUUCCUCAGAAAUACACCUUCUAAUACCUGUCAAGAUAUUCUCAAAGUUAUUUUGCCCUCCUAUUGAAAACAAACGUAAAAAGUACGAUCUGGCAAUUUCCUCCAUAUCCUUCCAUUUAUCCGUCUCCCUGCCGUCUUCACCCUACAGCUUGUGGAUUCUAUUUUGCUUCCUUCGUUGCGAUGCUUGUUUAUGAAAAAAAGUUGUAUUUCUGUCUCCCAUUUUCAACCAAUUAAUUCUGGCCCUCUGUUCCCAAUAGCUUUCAUCCUUCUCAAUUUCUAAAUUCUGAUGGAUUUUUGUGUCAAUAAUCUCUGCCAAGUUCUCCUCACUUCUAUCCGCUUCAAGCAACAUUUCUAAUUUUGACAAUAAGGCCUCUUUUUUCAUCCUUUUAUUCUGUUGGAACCGGACACACCACAUUUGUAACCCUCGUUUUAAAUUUUCCAGCUUCUUCACAAUGUCUCCUGUUGAGCUUUCCUAAAUACUUUUAGUCUCAUCCAAGAAUGUCUCUUCUAAAAUCCACCAUGCUUCAAACCUGAACCUCUGAUCUGCUAUCUUUUUAACUCUGUGAUCCGUAUCAAUAAGAAGUGGACAAUGGUCUGAGAAUGAAUGUGGGAGGUGUUGAAUUAGAAAAUUUGGAAAUAAGUCACUCCAUCUUUCUGUUGCCACCCCUCUAUAUAAUCUUUCAUGGAUAUUAGUUUCUGGCAGAUUUCCCCUCUCCCACGUAAACCUCUUACCUGAAUAUCCCAAAUCCACUAAACAACAAUCAUCCAAAGCCUUCCGAAAUGCUUCCAUCCUUCUCUCUUCUCUAGGCAAACCACCUUUCUUCUCAAAACAUAUAAGAUUUCAUUAAAAUCCCCACAAACCAGCCAUGGGUCAUCUCCCUGGUUUCUUAAUUUUCGCAACAAGUUCCAUGAUUCCUCCCUAUCAUAUGAAUAAGGGGAACCAUAAAAACCUGUAAAUCUCCACUUUUCUCCAUCUCCUUCUUCCUCAAUGAUCACAUCAAUAUGUCUACUUGAAAAACUCUAUAGUGCAAUACUAGUAUUCCCUCUACAUGCUAAACAAAGUCCUCAUCUAGAUCCAAUCGAAUCCACAUCAAUUCCAAAGUGAAAUCCACAACUUCUUCGAAUUUUUUCCAUCUUUUUUUUUGUUUAUUUUUGUCUCCAUUAAGAAGAUCACUUGGGGAUAGUGUUUCUUCAGCGAAUGCUAAAGUCGAUGAACUGUCCGAGGAUUCCCCGAACCUCGGACAUUCCAACUUAAUAUUUUCAUUGCGAUUGGUCGUCUUACCUCUUGGCAGUUGCCGAUAAUAAAUGAUUGAAUCCCUGUACUUUCCUAUCUCUCCCUUUCAUCUCCCUACUAUCCUCAAUAUCCUUUCUCCCUCUCUUUUUUCCCUCUUCUCCUAUAAUCAUCGCAUUCUCCAACUCCUGUUCUAUAGCCAUUUGACUAUAAUCAUUUAAAGGUCUAACCAUUUCUAUUUGUGAGGAGAACCCAUUACCUUUCAGAUUAAAUCUUAAAAUAGGAUCAACACUUCCCCUAAAAUUUCCUACGCUUCCCCUUUCAUUAUUUCCUCCGCUCAUUCCUCCCCCUGAACCUCCUUCCUCCUUUAACCAUACACUUCUCAUUGCUUGGGCUCUCCUUGAUUGUGCACGCAAAGAUAAAUCCCAUCCCAUCAUAUCAACUUCAACCACUGCCAACAUUUUUGCUUCACAAAAGGAGUCAUUAUGUCCAAGACGGCCACAGUAGAAGCAAAAAAGAGUCAAUCUUUCGUACUUAAAUCUAACAUAAGAGCACUUGUUAUUAAACAUAACCUGCUUUUUCCUUUUGAGAGGGCGCCGAAUGUCAACUUGAACUCUUAUCCUCAUGAAAUUCAUAUUUUCUUUCCCCAAACUAGAUCCAUCGUAUUCUUGAAAAAAUUCCAAUAAAAUUCCCUAACUGCAUCACUAAUUUAUCAGAGUAAAACCCAAUGGGCACAUCAUGUAUUUGAACCCAAAACGGUGAUGAGAUUAAAGGAACUUUUAGUGGAUCUUCCCCCUUGCAACUUGUGUUAAAUUAGUAGAUGAUUAUUGAAUGUCCAAGCAGCCCAUUUAAUAACUCUUUCCAUAUCAAUAACAUGAAAAAACUUAAACAAGUACCUUUUUUCCCCAGAUCCCUAAUUUGAACACCCUUGACCGGAUGCCAUAGAUUAGCCAUGGUACUUUUCAUUGCUGGAUAAUGGAUGAUACUGGCUGUAAGAAAACAACGAACCAGACUAAGAGAUUCUUCAUUAAUAACUAAAUUUGAGUCACCUUGUGCUUGCAGGAUCUCUUCUUCUUCUUCAUCAAGAGAUAAACCCGCAAAUUCUGAUUCCAUGGAUGCUGUACUCGAAUCCUCCGUUAAAGAAAUCACUUCAAAUCAAUGGAGAUGAACGCCGCCAAAACAAGAAAACACAAGAAAAAAACUUGCCAAAGAAGCAUACAGAGACGUGCUAGGGUAGCAGACUAUUUUUUACAAAAGUUGACGUAAAUUUUUAAGUUUAUUUUUUAAAAAUAAAAAAAUGAAAAAGAUUUAUUUUUAUUUUUCUCAUAUUUUUUAAAGAUUAUUUAAAUUUAAUUUCAAAAGAGAAUAAAACUGACAUGCAAAUAGAUUAAAAGUUAAAAGAAAAGUUUAAAAGCAUUUAACUAGGUAUAGUCACCAGUGAUGGUGUUACAUUUUUUCAUCCAAUCUAAAAAAGAAAAUUAUUUCAUCAUGUCUUUAAACAUUUUACAUAAUUGCACUUCAAUCAGGUGCAGUUAAUGACAACAGCGGUAGGGGCAAGGUCAAAACAAUGUUUUAGGAGGGUCGCAUGAAAUUUUAAAUUUUUAUAGUUUAUAUAUUUAUAAUUUUUGAAGAAUUAAAUUAAUUUUUUAUAAUUUUAGGGGGGCUAAAGUAUAAUUUUACCUUUAUUAAUUUAAAAUUUUAAAAAGUUUUAAAUAACCUAAACAACAAAUUUCUAUUUUAGGGGGGUCGGAACUCCUGUCAGCCCCCAGAUUACCCUCUAAACGACAACAUCAAAAAAAUAUUCUUUUCCAGCCAAUGAUUGGCCCAUUAUGAAGC